UACGAAGGGGGCGAGCGUUGUUCGGAAUUACUGGGCGUAAAGGGCGCGUAGGCGGCGAUCCGAGUCAGAUGUGAAAGUCCUGGGCUUAACCUGGGGACUGCAUUUGAUACUGGGUUGCUUGAAUUCGGGAGAGGAUGGCGGAAUUCCCAGUGUAGAGGUGAAAUUCGUAGAUAUUGGGAAGAACACCGGUGGCGAAGGCGGCUAUCUGGACCGACAUUGACGCUGAGGCGCGAAAGCGUGGGGAGCAAACAGG
Molecule: ribosomal RNA, 253 nt
Filed under: uncultured bacterium
Lineage: Bacteria
Description: partial 16S ribosomal RNA
Rfam family: Bacterial small subunit ribosomal RNA
Source: RNAcentral